Molecule: ribosomal RNA, 253 nt
Filed under: uncultured bacterium
Lineage: Bacteria
Description: partial 16S ribosomal RNA
Rfam family: Bacterial small subunit ribosomal RNA
Source: RNAcentral
UACGAAGGGAGCUAGCGUUGUUCGGAAUCACUGGGCGUAAAGCGCACGUAGGCGGAUGUGUCAGUCAGGGGUGAAAUCCCGGAGCUCAACUUCGGAACUGCCUUCGAUACAGCACAUCUGGAGUCCGGAAGAGGUGGGUGGAAUUCCUAGUGUAGAGGUGAAAUUCGUAGAUAUUAGGAAGAACACCGGUGGCGAAGGCGGCCCACUGGUCCGGUACUGACGCUGAGGUGCGAAAGCGUGGGGAGCAAACAGG